AUUUGAUGCCUGGCAGUUCCCUACUCUCGCAUGGGGAGACCCCACACUACCAUCGGCGCUACGGCGUUUCACUUCUGAGUUCGGCAUGGGGUCAGGUGGGACCACCGCGCUACUGCCGCCAGACAAAUUCUNNNNNNNNNNNNNNNNNNNNGAAUCAGUGCUGAAAAUCGUCUCUCAUCCGCCAAAACAUCUUCGGCGUUGUAAGGUUAAGCCUCACGGUUCAUUAGUACCGGUUAGCUCAACGCAUCGCUGCGCUUACACACCCGGCCUAUCAACGUCGUCGUCUUCAACGUUCCUUCAGGAGACCUAAAGUCUCAGGGAGAACUCAUCUCGGGGCAAGUUUCGUGCUUAGAUGCUUUCAGCACUUAUCUCUUCCGCAUUUAGCUACCGGGCAGUGCCAUUGGCAUGACAACCCGAACACCAGUGAUGCGUCCACUCCGGUCCUCUCGUACUAGGAGCAGCCCCCCUCAGUUCUCCAGCGCCCACGGCAGAUAGGGACCGAACUGUCUCACGACGUUCUAAACCCAGCUCGCGUACCACUUUAAAUGGCGAACAGCCAUACCCUUGGGACCUACUUCAGCCCCAGGAUGUGAUGAGCCGACAUCGAGGUGCCAAACACCGCCGUCGAUAUGAACUCUUGGGCGGUAUCAGCCUGUUAUCCCCGGAGUACCUUUUAUCCGUUGAGCGAUGGCCCUUCCAUUCAGAACCACCGGAUCACUAUGACCUGCUUUCGCACCUGCUCGCGCCGUCACGCUCGCAGUCAAGCUGGCUUAUGCCAUUGCACUAACCUCCUGAUGUCCGACCAGGAUUAGCCAACCUUCGUGCUCCUCCGUUACUCUUUAGGAGGAGACCGCCCCAGUCAAACUACCCACCAGACACUGUCCGCAACCCGGGUAACGGGUCCACGUUAGAACAUCAAACAUUAAAGGGUGGUAUUUCAAGGUCGGCUCCAUGCAGACUGGCGUCCACACUUCAAAGCCUCCCACCUAUCCUACACAUCAAGGCUCAAUGUUCAGUGUCAAGCUAUAGUAAAGGUUCACGGGGUCUUUCCGUCUUGCCGCGGGUACACUGCAUCUUCACAGCGAGUUCAAUUUCACUGAGUCUCGGGUGGAGACAGCCUGGCCAUCAUUACGCCAUUCGUGCAGGUCGGAACUUACCCGACAAGGAAUUUCGCUACCUUAGGACCGUUAUAGUUACGGCCGCCGUUUACCGGGGCUUCGAUCAGGAGCUUCGCUUGCGCUGACCCCAUCAAUUAACCUUCCGGCACCGGGCAGGCGUCACACCGUAUACGUCCACUUUCGUGUUUGCACAGUGCUGUGUUUUUAAUAAACAGUUGCAGCCAGCUGGUAUCUUCGACUGACUUCAGCUCCAUGAGUAAAUCACUUCACCUACGUGUCAGCGUGCCUUCUCCCGAAGUUACGGCACCAUUUUGCCUAGUUCCUUCACCCGAGUUCUCUCAAGCGCCUUGGUAUUCUCUACCUGACCACCUGUGUCGGUUUGGGGUACGAUUUGAUGUUACCUGAUGCUUAGAGGCUUUUCCUGGAAGCAGGGCAUUUGUUGCUUCAGCACCGUAGUGCCUCGUCGUCACGCCUCAGUGUUAAAGUGAACCGGAUUUACCUGGAACACACACCUACACGCUUAAACCGGGACAACCGUCGCCCGGCCAACAUAGCCUUCUCCGUCCCCCC
Molecule: ribosomal RNA, 1688 nt
Filed under: Salmonella enterica subsp. enterica serovar Paratyphi A
Lineage: Bacteria; Pseudomonadati; Pseudomonadota; Gammaproteobacteria; Enterobacterales; Enterobacteriaceae
Description: 23S ribosomal RNA
Source: RNAcentral